Molecule: ribosomal RNA, 490 nt
Filed under: uncultured bacterium
Lineage: Bacteria
Description: bacterial SSU rRNA
Rfam family: Bacterial small subunit ribosomal RNA
Source: RNAcentral
GAUGAACGCUAGCGGCAGGCUUAAUACAUGCAAGUCGUGGGGCAGCAUGAGUAGCAAUACUUGAUGGCGACCGGCAAACGGGUGAGGAACACGUACACAACCUUCCUUCAAGCGGGGAAUAGCCCAGAGAAAUUUGGAUUAAUACCCCAUAAUAUAUUUGAUAAGGCAUCUUAUUAAUAUUAAAGCUUCGGCACUUGAUGAUGGGUGUGCGGCUGAUUAGAUAGUUGGCGGGGUAACGGCCCACCAAGUCUACGAUCAGUAGCUGAUGUGAGAGCAUGAUCAGCCACACGGGCACUGAGACACGGGCCCGACUCCUACGGGAGGCAGCAGUAAGGAAUAUUGGACAAUGGACGAAAGUCUGAUCCAGCCAUGCCGCGUGAAGGAUUAAGGUCCUCUGGAUUGUAAACUUCUUUUAUAUGGGACGAAAAAGGGCAUUCUUGUUCACUUGACGGUACCAUAUGAAUAAGCACCGGCUAACUCCGUGCCAGCA